Molecule: RNase P RNA, 384 nt
Filed under: Bacteroidota bacterium
Lineage: Bacteria; Pseudomonadati; Bacteroidota
Description: RNase P RNA component class A
Rfam family: Bacterial RNase P class A
About the family: Ribonuclease P (RNase P) is a ubiquitous endoribonuclease, found in archaea, bacteria and eukarya as well as chloroplasts and mitochondria. Its best characterised activity is the generation of mature 5'-ends of tRNAs by cleaving the 5'-leader elements of precursor-tRNAs.
Source: RNAcentral
CAAGGCAAUCGGUUUGUCGCGCUGCUUAAUUGCGGUGAGGAAAGUCCGGGCAACACAGGGUACCACACCACUUGAAAGGGUGGGCAAUUAACAGAAAUGUUGGUUGACAGAUAGGGUCGCAGAGAAUAACUACCUCAAAGACGGAUGAAUUCCGUGUAAGGGGAAAAGGUGAAAACGUGGGGUAAGAGCCUACGCAUGACAGCAGUAAUGUUGGCAUGGGAUAAACCUUGUGGGUUGUAAGACCAAAUAUACCAUGGGAUGAGGGCGACCCGUCCGAUUUUAAAGCUUGCUUUAAUACCAUGGAGGGUAGGUUGCAAUAGAUAAAUGACAAGCACCUUGAUGCAAAUCAAGGAACAGAACCCGGCUUAUAGAUUGCCUUAUUUU